This 180-nucleotide ribosomal RNA is filed under the name Helicobacter pylori. Its description in RNAcentral is "partial 23S ribosomal RNA". It matches the Rfam family "Bacterial large subunit ribosomal RNA", at positions 1913 to 2092 of the family's 2925-position model. The record is from RNAcentral. Lineage: Bacteria; Pseudomonadati; Campylobacterota; Epsilonproteobacteria; Campylobacterales; Helicobacteraceae.
UGAAGCCCGAGUAAACGGCGGCCGUAACUAUAACGGUCCUAAGGUAGCGAAAUUCCUUGUCGGUUAAAUACCGACCUGCAUGAAUGGCGUAACGAGAUGGGAGCUGUCUCAACCAGAGAUUCAGUGAAAUUGUAGUGGAGGUGAAAAUUCCUCCUACCCGCGGCAAGACGGAAAGACCCC